This 6975-nucleotide long non-coding RNA is filed under the name Brassica rapa (field mustard). RNAcentral describes it as "long non-coding RNA (BRAP_LNC008397)". The record is from RNAcentral. Lineage: Eukaryota; Viridiplantae; Streptophyta; Magnoliopsida; Brassicales; Brassicaceae.
CAGUUGAAAACCAGUUCAAUCUUCUUCUCCCACUCUAAGUAAGCAUCAGGAUCAUUCUUCCCAUGGAAUGGAGGGAUUCUAAGCUUGAGAUUGCCUAGGUUAUCAGUAGCUGGUCGCCUGCGGUUGUGAUUUCUACCAUGAUGACUAGCCUGAGAUCCAUCAUCACUUUCAUCAGCUGAAUCUUCUUGAUAAUGUUCUCCAUAAAUCCCACGACCCCUAAGCUCAACUCGUUGCCCUCUUAUAGGUCCAAUGCGUGCUCUCUGAGCUCCAGCAGCAACCGCGUCCCUCUCUUGCCCUGCAUUAUCACCAGGUAAAGUUUCAUUAGCUUGUUGAGCACGGUUGUAAGUAUUUUGCAUUCUUCUGGUUAUCUCAGCUAUCAUAGCCUCAAAUUGAACUUGGUUGAGGUUGAUUUGCUGGACAGCCGGUUCUCCUGAACUCUCAGGUUGCUUUCCAUCUCGCCUCUCUUCACUCAUUGUUCCUGAAAUAGUUAGAGAAAACACAAAGCCAGGAACAAAAUUAUCUCUCUCUCACUCAAGUUUUCAAAUCGCCAAGUCUCAGCUCUUCCCACAAGUUCAGUUGAAAAACAAAGUUCUACACUUAAGAUCUAGAACUAAAACCCCAAUGAAUCAGAUAGAAAGUAUUAAGAGAUUUAGGCACCAGCUGACUUUACCACCCUGAGCUGGAUUUCUCUUCAGCUAGCUGGAUUACUCUUCAGCUAUAUAUAUUUUUUUUUUUUGAUUUGGAUCAGAGAUCUCUUUUUUUUUUUUUUUUUGAUUUGCAGGGUUGGCUCAGCUGGCUUACAACAGAUAGAAAGAUAAGAGAAGUGUUUGAUGGAAUGAAUGAUCUGAGUAGUCAAAUUGCAAACCCUAACCUUCAAGUGGCUCUGAUACCACUUGGUGCAGCCUGGGUAUGGCUUAAACUCUGGAUCACUUGAAGGUGGAUGGAUAGAGGGUGUUCUAAGAGGCUACUAGCUCUCCUUUGAACUAUGAACGUCUCCCUGAGCCUGUGGGUUGGCGCCAAGGAUGGUUUGCUACUCAAAGACACAAGAUCACCUUGUAUUGUCUAAGAUGGGAUUCACAGGAAUUCCUUCCUUUAAGUGAGAUCAAUGUUCUAGAGCUGAACAGAGAAAGCUAGAGACAAGACAACAAAGUUGACUGAAUAAUUCUUAGAUUGAAAGUUAGAAAACAAAGCUGCAGCCCCCAUGUUCUUAAAGUAAAAAUCGAAAACCCUAAUACUAAACCAAGGUGGUUUAAUUCUAAUUCUAAUCCUAAUUGUCUUUGGUUUAAAUUAAAUGAAAGCCCAAUAACCAAACCCUUACAAAGUAAUUAAAUUAAACCAACAAGCUGGUUUAUCUUGAUCUCCUUGCCUUGAACCAAGGCCCACGGUUUUGGCUAUCUCCUGGAGCCUCUCCUCUUGUGCUCUCAAUCUUGAUCUGGUUACUGGUCCACUCCACAAGCUGGCUAGCUCAUUUGGUUCUUCUCUGCUCAAGUCUGGUUCUUCUCUUCUCAAGUCUGGCUCUUCUCUGCUCAAGUCUGGCUCUCCCUCAUCAGACUCACUCAGCUCUCCAAUGUCUCUACUCAUGGCUACACCAUCCCCUCCUCCUUUAAAAGGAUUUGACCUCAAAUCCAAAUCAUCUGCAAUAAAAGGAUCCAAGUCAGAAACAUUGAAAGUAGAACUGAUUGUAUAUUUCCCUUCAAGAUCAAUCUGGUAGGCAUUGUUGUUGAUUCUCUUCAGCACUUUGAAAGGUCCAUCUUUCCUUGGCAGCAACUUUGAUUUCCUCUCAACAGGAAACCUCUCUUUUCUCAUGUGAAUCCACACAAGAUCACCCGGUUCAAGUACUAGCUCCUUGCGCCCCUGGUUCUUCUGUCUCUCAUACAUCUUGGUCCUCUCCUCAAUGUUCUUCCUGACCUGUUCAUGCAAAGACAAAACAAACUCGGCCUUUUGCUUGCCAUCAAGGUUAGUUUGUUCUUUUAAAGGUAAAGCAAAUAAGUCAAGAGGAGACAAUGGAUUAAAACCAUAAACAACUUGAAAAGGAGAAAGUUAAGUAGCUGAAUGCACUGCUCUGUUAUAUGCAAACUCUACAUGUGGUAAACAAUCCUCCCAUGUCCUAAUGUUACUCUUAAUGAUGGCACGCAAAAGAGUAGACAAUGUCCUAUUGACUGAUUCAGUUUGACCAUCAGUUUGGGGAUGACAAGUAGUUGAAAACAAUAGCUUAGUUCCCAACUUUCCCCACAGAGUUUUCCAGAAGUAGCUAAGGAACUUAGUAUCUCUAUCAGAAACUAUAGUCCUAGGCAUACCAUGCAAUCUAACAACUUCUCUAAAGAAUAGAUCAGCUACCAAAGAUGCAUCAUCAGUUUUAUGACAAGGUAUGAAGUGAGCCAUCUUAGAAAAUCUAUCAACAACCACAAAGAUGCUAUCUCUUCCUUUCCUAGUUCUAGGCAAUCCUAAGACAAAGUCCAUAGAGAUAUCAAUCCAUGGUGCAGUAGGAAUAGGGAGAGGUGUAUACAAACCUGUUGGUUGGACCUUAGACUUGGCUUGCUUGCACACGACACACCUUGAGCACACACGCUCCACUUCUUUCUUCAUGCUCGGCCAGUAGAAGUGCUCCUGCAAGGUGGAGAGUGUUUUGGCGACCCCAAAGUGUCCCAUCAGCCCUGCGUGAGCUUCCCUAACAUACAAUUCUCUCAAAGAACCACUAGGAACACACAGGCGGUUAUCAUAGAAAAGAAAUCCUUUUACUUGAUAGAAUUUUCCACUAGCAUGUUUCUCAGAUUCUCUAAACACAUCUUUAAACUCAGGAUCAUUAGCAUAGCAAGAUUUGAUAUGUUCAAAUCCUAAGAGUUUAGUUUCCAUUGAAGAUAAAAGAGUAUACCUUCUGGAGAGUGCAUCAGCCACUACAUUCUCCUUACCUUUCUUGUAGUGGAUGACAUAAGGAAAGGUCUCAAUGAACUCCACCCACCUGGCGUGUCUCUUGUUCAGCUUCUGUUGCCCUUUGAAAUGUUUAAGGGAUUCAUGAUCUGUAUGGAUCACAAACUCCUUAGGCCACAAGUAAUGUUGCCACACUUGUAAAGCUCUCACCAAGGCAUACAGCUCCUUGUCAUAGGUAGGAUAGUUUAAGGUGGCGCCUCCUAGUUUCUCACUGAAAUAAGCUAUGGGUUUCUUAUCCUGCAUCAACACAGCUCCAAUUCCAAUACCAGAUGCAUCACAUUCAAUUUCAAAAGUCUUAGAAAAGUCAGGAAGUGCAAGUAAGGGAGCACUUGUUAACUUCUCUUUUAGCAUUUGAAAUGCCUCUUCUUGUGCUGGUCCCCAAGUGAAACCUACACUCUUCUUGACUACUUCAGUCAGUGGUGCUGCAACUGUACUGAAAUCUCUCACAAACCUCCGGUAGAAGCCAGCAAGUCCAUGAAAACUUCUGACCUCUCCAAUAGAUUUAGGAAUCGGCCACUCCCUGAUAGCUUUCACCUUUUCCUCAUCAACCUGUAUGCCCUGUGAAGUCACAACAAAACCUAAAAAGACAAGGUUAUCUGUGCCAAAAGAGCACUUCUUAUAGUUAGCAUACAGAUUUUCUUUCUAAGCACAUCUAGAACUUGCUUCAAGUGGUUAACAUGUUCUUUCAUAGUCUUGCUGUAAAUCAGGAUAUCAUCGAAGUAAACAACUACAAAUCGUCCUAUCAAAGCUCUCAAGACGUGAUUCAUUAAUCUCAUGAAAGUACUAGGUGCAUUAGUAAGCCCAAAAGGCAUCACAAGCCAUUCAUACAAUCCUAACUUAGUUUUAAAGGCAGUUUUCCACUCAUCUCCUUCUUUCAUUCUAAUCUGGUGGUAACCACUCUUUAAAUCAAUUUUAGAGAAGACACAUGAACCAUGUAACUCAUCUAGCAUAUCAUCUAAGCGAGGAAUAGGAUGCCUGUACUUAACUGUUAUGUUGUUGAUGGCUCUGCAGUCCACACACAUCCUCCAGCUUCCAUCUUUUUUUGGCACCAAAGGACAGGUACAGCACAAGGACUCAUACUCUCCCUGAUAUGUCCCUUCUCCAUUAGCUCAUUGACUUGUUUCUGAAGCUCCUUGGUCUCCACAGGGUUGGUCCUGUAUGCUGGACGGUUUGGUAAAGUAGCUCCUGGUACAAAGUCAAUCUGGUGCUCUAUUCCCCUAAUAGGCGGCAGACCUAUGGGAUUGUCCUCUGGGAACACAUCUCUAUACUCCUGCAAAAGACACUCAAUCUCCUCUGGAAUCUCAGGAGCAGGGUUAGUAGUAGAGCUCAACAAUUCUUUGUAAACUACUAGUAUAAAAUUUGAUUGUUCAAUCACAGCAGUUUUGAUAUCUUUAGCAGUAGCAAAGAGGUUGAGUUUACUUACCUGGCUGGUCUCUUCAAGAAGCAAGGACUUGCUGGCGGCCUUGGACUCUCCUCUCUUCAUUUUGAGAUGCAACUGAUCCUGGUGUACCUCCUGAGGGGUCAUUGGCACCAGGGUAACUUGUUUCUCCUUAUGAAUAAAAGUGUAUCUGUUGGUAAAGCCAUCAUGUACUGAUCUCUUAUCAUACUGCCAUGGACGUCCAAGAAGGAUGUGGCUAGCUUCCAGGGGUGCUACAUCACAAGUGAUCUCAUCCUGGUACUUUCCCACUGAUAGCAAUACCUUCACUUGCUUGGUGAUCUUUAAUCCUCCCUCAUCAUUGAUCCAUUGCAACAGAUAUGGCUUAGGAUGCUUGAACACUAGAAGACCCAACUUCUCCACCAACUCAGCACUUGCUACAUUAGUACAACUUCCUCCAUCAAUGAUCAAGCUACAAACCUUUUCUUGAAUCAAGCAUCUGGUGUGAAACAAGUUUUCCCUUUGCUCAUCUUCUUUGGUUUUAGGUUGAGCAUUGAGAAGUCUCCUGGUGACUAAUAGCUCUCCACGGACAGGGUACUCCACGCCUUCCUCAUCAGACUCUUGGCCGGCGUCCUCCUCUUCAGAUAUCACCUCCCCGUCGGCUAAGAUAGUCAUCACCUUCUUGUUGGUGCACUCAUUAGCAUAGUGACCAAAACCAUGACACUUGAAACACUUAAUGUUCCUGGUCUUAGUAGGUGUGGCUACUCCUUUACCCUUGUCAUCUCUCUUGGUCUCCACUGAAGAAGAACCUUCUUUGGACUUAUCCCCUGGCUUAUCUUCCUUGGAGUAAGCCGGUUUUGAAGGCAGGAGUGUAUGAAGACCGGGUAGAGCUCUUCUCUUGUUCUGCUGCUCAAUCAAAAUAGCCUUAUGUAGCAGUUCAUCCAUGUCCUCAUACUCUUGUAGCUCCAACCUAUCUUGUAUAUCUCUGUUAAGACCUCCUUGGAAUCUAGCCAUAGUAGCUUCUACUUCUUCUUCUAAGUCAGCUUUCAACAUGAGUGUUUCCAUCUCCUGGUGAUAGUCCUCUACACUCUUAGAUCCUUGAGAAAGCCUUCUCAACUUCUGGUGUAGAUCUCUUCCAUAGUGAUUAGGAACAAAUCUCUUCUUCAUCACAGUUUUCAUCUCAAACCAGGAAGCUACCUGAGGCUCUCCAUUGCGUCUCCUGGUAGUAGCAAUCUGAUCCCACCAGCUAUAGCAUAACCACAGAAUUCAGUAGCUGCUAGUCUCACUUUUCUCUCCUCAGUGAUGAACUGUUGGCAAUUGAAAACCAGUUCAAUCUUCUUCUCCCACUCUAAGUAAGCAUCAGGAUCAUUCUUCCCAUGGAAGGGAGGGAUUCUAAGCUUGAGAUUGCCUAGGUUAUCAGUAGCUGGUCGCCUGCGGUUGUGAUUUCUACCAUGAUGACUAGCCUGAGAUCCAUCAUCACUUUCAUCAGCUGACUCUUCUUGAUAAUGUUCUCCAUAAAUCCCACGACCCCUAAGCUCAACUCGUUGCCCUCUUAUAGGUCCAAUGCGUGCUCUCUGAGCUCCAGCAGCAACCGCGUCCCUCUCUUGCCCUGCAUUAUCACCAGGUAAAGUUUCAUUAGCUUGUUGAGCACGGUUGUAAGUAUUUUGCAUUCUUCUGGUUAUCUCAGCUAUCAUAGCCUCAAAUUGAACUUGGUUGAGGUUGAUUUGCUGGACAGCCGGUUCUCCUGAACUCUCAGGUUGCUUUCCAUCUCGCCUCUCUUCACUCAUUGUUCCUGAAAUAGUUAGAGAAAACACAAAGCCAGGAACAAAAUUAUCUCUCUCUCACUCAAGUUUUCAAAUCGCCAAGUCUCAGCUCUUCCCACAAGUUCAGUUGAAAAACAAAGUUCUACACUUAAGAUCUAGAACUAAAACCCCAAUGAAUCAGAUAGAAAGUAUUAAGAGAUUUAGGCACCAGCUGACUUUACCACCCUGAGCUGGAUUUCUCUUCAGCUAGCUGGAUUACUCUUCAGCUAUAUAUAUUUUUUUUUUUUUGAUUUGGAUCAGAGAUCUCUUUUCUUUUUUUUUUUUUGAUUUGCAGGGUUGGCUCAGCUGGCUUACAACAGAUAGAAAGAUAAGAGAAGUGUUUGAUGGAAUGAAUGAUCUGAGUAGUCAAAUCGCAAACCCUAACCUUCAAGUGGCUCUGAUACCACUUGGUGCAGCCUGGGUAUGGCUUAAACUCUGGAUCACUUGAAGGUGGAUGGAUAGAGGGUGUUCUAAGAGGCUACUAGCUCUCCUUUGAACUAUGAACGUCUCCCUGAGCCUGUGGGUUGGCGCCAAGGAUGGUUUGCUACUCAAAGACACAAGAUCACCUUGUAUUGUCUAAGAUGGGAUUCACAGGAAUUCCUUCCUUUAAGUGAGAUCAAUGUUCUAGAGCUGAACAGAGAAAGCUAGAGACAAGACAACAACGUUGACUGAAUAAUUCUUAGAUUGAAAGUUAAGAAAACAAAGCUGCAGCCUCCAUGUUCUUAAAGUAAAAAUCGAAAACCCUAAUACUAAACCAAGGUGGUUUAAUUCUAAUUCUAAUCCUAAUUGUCUUUGGUUUAAAUUAAAUGAAAGCCCAAUAACCAAACCCUUACAAAGUAAUUAAAUUAAACCAACAAGCUGGUUUAUCUU